UACGUAGGGGGCUAGCGUUGUCCGGAAUCAUUGGGCGUAAAGCGCGCGUAGGCGGUCCGGUAAGUCCGCUGUGAAGGUCGGGGGCUCAACCCUCGGAUGCCGGUGGAUACUGUCGGGCUUGAGUACGGAAGAGGCGAGUGGAAUUCCUGGUGUAGCGGUGAAAUGCGCAGAUAUCAGGAGGAACACCAAUUGCGAAGGCAGCUCGCUGGGACGUUACUGACGCUGAGACGCGAAAGCGUGGGGAGCAAACAGG
Molecule: ribosomal RNA, 253 nt
Filed under: uncultured bacterium
Lineage: Bacteria
Description: partial 16S ribosomal RNA
Rfam family: Bacterial small subunit ribosomal RNA
Source: RNAcentral